CCUCUUACUCACCUGCACAGGAAAGUUCACACAGAAGCAAACUGUUUGGGAAAGGGAAUCAAAAGAGUAGUCAUGCAGUGGGAUAGUUUCUCAGAGGGGGUGGAGAACACAAGCAAAAAAUCCCGAUUUGGCCCUCCUUUCCUGAAAGCCUCUGUUUCUUUCUGCUGGCCUCUCCUUGCUAAUUGCAACUCUGCUCUUUUCUUUCCCCUUUGAUCACUCCCAGGUUUGGUCUUCCUCCUUCAAAUUGAGCCAGCUGCCCAGGAUUUGCCCUUGACUUUGCAAGGUCUUCUGGGAAGCGUAGUUCAGAACAAAAUGGAGACUAAUGGUUGUUGUGGGUUUUUUGGGCUCUUUGGCCGUGUUCUGAAGGUUGUUCUUCCUAACGUUUUUGCCAGUCUCUGUGGCCAGCAUCUUCAGAGGACAGCACUCUGUGCUCUGGUGUAGUUGGCUUGGGAGUGCAGUAUUUAUGGCUUUUGUCUUUUCUGUAGAUGGGUGAUUAGUGUGUCUUAGUUGUGGGUGUAUUGUUGUGCUAAAUUGAAGAGAUUAUCUGUCACUGUGAUUGAUGGGUGUCAUUAGCUGGUCUUUUGUGUGUAGUGAAAUGGAGACUCAGUGGUCCAAGGGAAAUCUUGGUAGAGGCAGACGGGUUAGGAUGUGCAAACAUUUCAGGUGUCAUUAGCUGGUCUUUUGUGUGUAGUGUGUAGUGAAAUGGCGACUCAGUGGUCCAAGGGAAAUCUUGGGAGAGGCAGAUGGGUUAGGAUGUGCAAACAUUUCAGACAAAAGCAACAGAAAAAAAAGAAAAGGGGGAAAACAUGUGGCACUUUAAAGACCAACUGUUACAUUUUAGUGUGAGCUUUUGUGGACUCGUCCACUUUGUCAGACACCUGGAAACAGAGUGAAACAUUGAAUGAAAUAUCAGUUCUAUAAGCAGAAGGUUCUGAAUAUUUAUUGGGUCUUGGUUGUGUGCUAUGUUUACAUGUGGUAACUUAUGGCCUAUGUUGUCAGAAACAGGGAUGCCAGAACCCUGAGUAACCCGGGAGUUUUUGGACUGCAAUUCCCAGAAGCCUUCAUCACCAUGAAUACAAAUACCCCCAUCUCUAUUUAUAACAGAAACAGCACUGAAGAUAACUGGAAGAUACAAGACUGAUUAUAGUUAAAAGGGAAAUAACUUUUGAAUACAGGAAAGAGCGAGAAGGAACACAAGUAAGCAUUCAGCGUCCAAACUAAGAGUCACUAUUUCUUUUUACAAAUACAGCAGGACCCCAUAUCCACGAGGGAUUGCUUCCAAGCCCUCUGUGGAUAAGGAAAACCAUGGAUAAUGGUGAACGCAUACAUAGCACGAUAAAAGAAAAAAUC
Molecule: long non-coding RNA, 1350 nt
Filed under: Pogona vitticeps (central bearded dragon)
Lineage: Eukaryota; Metazoa; Chordata; Lepidosauria; Squamata; Agamidae
Description: lncRNA (ENSPVIG00000011207.1)
Source: RNAcentral